Oncorhynchus keta (chum salmon) is the source of this 1447-nucleotide long non-coding RNA. RefSeq lists it as uncharacterized. The record is from RefSeq and is a predicted model, not a curated record. NCBI's taxonomy places the organism in Eukaryota, Metazoa, Chordata, Actinopteri, Salmoniformes, Salmonidae. The transcript is spliced from 4 exons.
CAGCUGUGAAUGUAUCAUAAUGCUGGAACAAAAAGCUUUUGUCAGGCUUUUAACAACAUCACCAUCACCAGCACUGGGCCCGGGUCCAGAUGACGAAUCAUACACAGAUGGAAGUUUAAGUACUCUCUCAUUAGAGAUAGGAGUCCAUUGUAUCCGGGCCGGGCUGAAGUCUAAGGAGUGGGCUGUCUCUGGAAGCUGCAUUGCCAUAAUUGAAGUUGGUGUCAGCUUCAUAGCUUUUCACUGUGUCCUUUCUUCCAGACCCCAGGGGCCAAAAGUUUUGGAAUUCCCACUUUAAUGGUGAAAUAUUAUUGCCCGAAACCAUCAUUUGGAAUUCAAUUAUGAGAAGUAGCCGGAACCACACAACCUAAAGAGGUCCGUCAUUUUAAGGUGUCAUCCAUCUCCCCCAUUCUGCCUGCCCUGACCCUGAGCCUGCCAUUCUGUACCUUGUAACACCACACUGGAUUAUUGACCUCUGCCUGCCCUGACCCAGAGCCUGCCUGCCGUUCUGUACCUUUUGGACUCUGAUCUGGAUUACUGACCUCUGUCUGCCCUUGACCUGUCGUUUCGCCUUCCCCCUGUUCUGGUAAUAAACUUUUGUUACCUCGGCACUGUCUGUAAUCUGGGUCUUCACCAAAACGUGAUACUAAGGCUGUUUUUUAAAGGAAGAAACUUCUAUCAAAGUUGUCUGUAAUUGUCUCUAACCUCCUACAAUAAGCGUUCAAUUCCACAUGCUUUGAAAUCAGCAUUAUACUGUACUGGACUGGCAUCAUGUGUAGUAUAUAUGUGGAAUAACAGUGCCAAUGUGUAUAUGUGGAGUGUGUAUAUAUGUGGAAUAACAGUGCCAAUGUGUAUAUGUGGAGUGUGUAUAUAUGUGGAAUAACAGUGCCAAUGUGUAUAUGUGGAGUGUGUAUAUAUGUGGAAUAACAGUGCCAAUGUGUAUAUGUGGAGUGUGUAUAUAUGUGGAAUAACAGUGCCAAUGUGUAUAUGUGGAAUAACAGUGCCAAUGUGUAUAUGUGGAGUGUGUAUAUAUGUGGAAUAACAGUGCCAAUGUGUAUAUGUGGAGUGUGUAUAUAUGUGGAAUAACAGUGCCAAUGUGUAUAUGUGGAGUGUGUAUAUAUGUGGAAUAACAGUGCCUGUCCUCUCCCUCCCUCCUCCACUGAGAAAAGAGGACACAAUUUUCCAGCUGAAGACGAAACUUAAGUCGCAUUGCAUUUGGCCUCAUGCACCAAUUCAUGUUGUUACUCCUGUGACCAGAGAAAGUGAAAUAUUCCUUGCAGCUAAUAAUAACAACGCAAGCACGUUAUCGAAACACUGUACUAUACUCAUUCAUUGCAGCUACAGUGCUGGUGGUAGCGUGAGUGGAAGGAGGACGCCAUUGUAUGGCUUAUCAAAGUGUUGAACAAAGUGUUGACAGUGCUGAAUAACUUAGAAAUUAAACUCACUCGUA